UACGAAGGGGGCUAGCGUUGCUCGGAAUUACUGGGCGUAAAGGGCGCGUAGGCGGCUCUGUUAGUCAGGGGUGAAAGCCUGUGGCUCAACCACAGAAUUGCCUUUGAUACUGUUUGGCUAGAGACCGGAAGAGGUAAGUGGAACUGCGAUUGUAGAGGUGAAAUUCGUAGAUAUUCGCAAGAACACCAGUGGCGAAGGCGGCUUACUGGUCCGGUUCUGACGCUGAGGCGCGAAAGCGUGGGGAGCAAACAGG
This 253-nucleotide ribosomal RNA is filed under the name uncultured bacterium. RNAcentral describes it as "partial 16S ribosomal RNA". It matches the Rfam family "Bacterial small subunit ribosomal RNA", at positions 524 to 776 of the family's 1533-position model. The record is from RNAcentral.